This 494-nucleotide ribosomal RNA is filed under the name uncultured bacterium. RNAcentral's name for it is "bacterial SSU rRNA". It matches the Rfam family "Bacterial small subunit ribosomal RNA", at positions 29 to 524 of the family's 1533-position model. The record is from RNAcentral.
AACUAACGCUGGCGGCGUGCCUAACACAUGCAAGUCGUACGAGAAAGUCGGCUUCGGCUGAUGAGUAAAGUGGCGCACGGGUGAGUAACGCGUGGAUAAUCUGCCCUUGAGUGUGGAAUAACGUACCGAAAGGUGCGCUAAUACCGCAUAAUGCCUGGCAACAUAAGUUGUCCGGCCAAAGAAGGCCUCUGCUUGCAAGCUUUCGCUAAAGGAUGAGUCCGCGUACCAUUAGCUAGUUGGUGAGGUAACGGCCCACCAAGGCGACGAUGGGUAGCCGGCCUGAGAGGGUGAACGGCCACACUGGGACUGAGACACGGCCCAGACUCCUACGGGAGGCAGCAGUUGGGAAUCUUCGGCAAUGGGCGCAAGCCUGACCGAGCAACGCCGCGUGAGUGAUGAAGGUUUUCGGAUUGUAAAGCUCUGUCUUCCGGGACGAUAAUGACGGUACCGGAGGAGGAAGCCACGGCUAACUACGUGCCAGCAGCCGCGGUAAU